Long non-coding RNA from Rhineura floridana, 1537 nucleotides. RefSeq lists it as uncharacterized. Lineage: Eukaryota; Metazoa; Chordata; Lepidosauria; Squamata; Rhineuridae. The record is from RefSeq and is a predicted model, not a curated record. The transcript has 3 exons.
AAUACAUGAAAAGAACAGCCGAACUUCUGCUGGGAAAUGAAGGACGGAAGGAGGGAAGGAGGGAGGGAGGGAGACCUGGCGUCUAGGGAGAAGUUAAAUAAAUAGGGAAUAUAAAAGUAUUAAAUAUAAUUGGGCACGAACGUGAGAUUCCUAACGCCCCAAACCGAAGCAACAUUUAACCGCGCCUUUUCUGAUAAACUUGAGUUACCGUGUUUCUGAGAGUUUGAGCAUAAAACAAGGCAAAAGCGCCUUGAUCAUCUACCUGCGUGACGACAGAGCGAGUUUUACAGUAAAAGUGGGAGGAUUUGACUACCAUAAUGUGCUACCAUUUUCAGAAAACACAGGUAGGGACAGACUGGAUCUGGCAGAACAGUUACACCAGACUCCUGCUCCAGCUGCUCAAGAUGAUGCAUUACCAAAGAAGAAGCUUUUGGAUAACCUUGGCUAAUAUACAUGGAUAGUUGGUCCUCACACAGAAAAGUCUUUGACCUAAAGAUGAGAAAAGAUGGGAGUCCAGUGCUAUGGGUUGGUUACCAGUUGGACAGAAACAUGAGUGGGGUCCAUGAAUGCCAAGCAAAUCUGACAGGGCACCAUAAAUAUAUGGAGAAUAACAGGGCUCCUCUGAUUUACAUGUUGCUUCAUGAUUGUUGAUGCUGACUUCCAAUCAGGAGACAAAACUGCAGGCCUGGAAGAGACUCUAAUCCAGCCUCCCCCAACCUGCCUUUCAGUCAUUGUUGGGCUCCAGUUUCCAUCAGCCCCAGCCAGCAUGUCUAAUGGUCAGGGAGAUGGGAGCUGUAGUCCAGCAACAUCUGAGGGCCACAGCUUUAGGGAAGGCUGCUUUGGUCUUUUCUUGUCUCAGAUGAAUCUAUACUAUCUUGUCUCAGAUGAAUCUUCUUGUUGCCCAGAUGAAUUUAUACUAUUCCCAGGUUCUGAUUAAAAUUCACCAGUUACCCUUUUCAGUUUGUCCUCUUUUGGGGUGCAUCCAAAUUGAAUAGACUUAAACUUGUUUCAUAUCCCCUCUUCCAGGGAUUUUUAUGGAUUUUUUGUGUGGGGGAGGAAUCUAUAGCAGAGAACUCUGAACAACCUCACUAUGGUACAAAUCCCCAAGAUUCUUUUAGGAAACUCUGAACAGCUAAUGAAGUUUCAGAUUGAUAUAAAUGUCUAGUGUGGACAGUGAAGCACUUAGUUAAUUUUCUACUCUGGACUUAAUCGUCUUAUAGGGGUUCCUCUCUUAGAUGGCAAUGCACAUUUAUUUACUUGGUUCAAAAAGUUGCAAGCCAGCCCUGCUGGAUUUUUUUUGGGGGGGGUGGUGGCUGCUCAUUCUGCCUAGUGGGGUCCCAGUCUUCUGCCCCAUGUCCUGCCCAGAUAGCACCACUAUGUCAUCAUUUGACUGAAAUAUAUUAAAUAUCAUCACGGUGCAUCUGGGAAAACAUGGAACUGGUUUUAAAAAAUGGGGGGGCUUUAUAGUAUAAUCCUCAGAAGUAAGUUCAAUGAAAUUUACUCCAAAGUUAUGUGGGUAUAGGUUUACACCCUUAUU